UUAAUCUUAUUAGUUAUAUAUUUUAAUAAAUUUUUAAUUAUAUAGAUUUUAAUUGGGGUGAUUAAGGAGCAAAUUUAAGUAACCUCCUUAUUUCUAUUACUAGUAGGUAAAAUAACCAAUUUUGUUGCUUACACUAGAGUUACCAU
This 146-nucleotide ribosomal RNA is filed under the name unidentified. RNAcentral's name for it is "Abraliopsis sp. CMD-2022 partial large subunit ribosomal RNA". The record is from RNAcentral.